This 250-nucleotide ribosomal RNA is filed under the name uncultured bacterium. RNAcentral describes it as "partial 16S ribosomal RNA". It matches the Rfam family "Bacterial small subunit ribosomal RNA", at positions 779 to 1028 of the family's 1533-position model. The record is from RNAcentral.
UAGAUACCCUGGUAGUCCAUGCCGUAAACGAUGAGUGCUAAGUGUUGGGAGGUUUCCGCCUCUCAGUGCUGCAGCUAACGCAUUAAGCACUCCGCCUGGGGAGUACGACCGCAAGGUUGAAACUCAAAGGAAUUGACGGGGGCCCGCACAAGCGGUGGAGCAUGUGGUUUAAUUCGAGCUACGCGAAGAACCUUACCAGGUCUUGACAUCUUGCGCUAACCUAAGAGAUUAGGCGUUCCCUUCGGGGACG